GGGGCUAUAGUUCAGUGGUAGAGUACUUGCCUCACAGGUGUAAGAACCUGGGUUCGAUCCUCAGUACCACA
This 71-nucleotide transfer RNA is filed under the name Marmota monax (woodchuck). Its description in RNAcentral is "tRNA.Val". Lineage: Eukaryota; Metazoa; Chordata; Mammalia; Rodentia; Sciuridae. The record is from RNAcentral.